This 196-nucleotide small nuclear RNA is filed under the name Nicotiana attenuata. Its description in RNAcentral is "snRNA U2". It matches the Rfam family "U2 spliceosomal RNA". From Rfam's summary of the family: U2 is a small nuclear RNA (snRNA) component of the spliceosome (involved in pre-mRNA splicing). Complementary binding between U2 snRNA (in an area lying towards the 5' end but 3' to hairpin I) and the branchpoint sequence (BPS) of the intron results the bulging out of an unpaired adenosine, on the BPS, which initiates a nucleophilic attack at the intronic 5' splice site, thus starting the first of two transesterification reactions that mediate splicing. The record is from Rfam by way of RNAcentral. Lineage: Eukaryota; Viridiplantae; Streptophyta; Magnoliopsida; Solanales; Solanaceae.
AUACCUUUCUCGGCCUUUUGGCUAAGAUCAAGUGUAGUAUCUGUUCUUAUCGGUUUAAUAUCUGAUACGUGAGUAAUUGACUCACACGAUAUUAACUCAAUUUUUUUAGGGGGAGAGGCCAUUAUGGUAGCUUGCUAUUGGGGCUCUCAAGUGUCGCCUUGGUGUUGCACUAUUACCUUGGCCUGGCACACCCCAC